Molecule: ribosomal RNA, 515 nt
Filed under: uncultured Diversispora
Lineage: Eukaryota; Fungi; Glomeromycota; Glomeromycetes; Diversisporales; Diversisporaceae
Description: SSU rRNA
Rfam family: Eukaryotic small subunit ribosomal RNA
Source: RNAcentral
AGCAGCCGCGGUAAUUCCAGCUCCAAUAGCGUAUAUUAAAGUUGUUGCAGUUAAAAAGCUCGUAGUUGAACUUCGGGGUUCACCCAUUGGUCAGGCUUAAUUGUCUGCACUGGUGAGAUGAGUCUCUAUCUUCUGAGGAACUUUCAUGCCAUUUAUUUGGUGUGGUUGGAAAUCAGGACUGUUACUUUGAAAAAAUUAGAGUGUUUAAAGCAGGCUAACGUCUGAAUACAUUAGCAUGGAAUAAUGAAAUAGGACGGACUGAUUCUAUUUCGUUGGUUUCUAGGGUCACCGUAAUGAUUAAUAGGGAUAGUUGGGGGCAUUAGUAUUCAAUUGUCAGAGGUGAAAUUCUUGGAUUUAUUGAAGACUAACUACUGCGAAAGCAUUUGCCAAGGAUGUUUUCAUUAAUCAAGAACGAAAGUUAGGGGAUCGAAGACGAUCAGAUACCGUCGUAGUCUUAACCAUAAACUAUGCCGACUAGGGAUCGGACGAAGUUAAUUUUAUAAUGACGCGUUCGC